GGUGGCUCAGUGGUAGAGCGCUUGCCUAGCAUGCAUGAAGCCCUGGGUUCGAUUCCCCAGUACCA
Molecule: transfer RNA, 65 nt
Filed under: Dipodomys ordii (Ord's kangaroo rat)
Lineage: Eukaryota; Metazoa; Chordata; Mammalia; Rodentia; Heteromyidae
Rfam family: tRNA
About the family: Transfer RNA (tRNA) molecules are approximately 80 nucleotides in length. Their secondary structure includes four short double-helical elements and three loops (D, anti-codon, and T loops). Further hydrogen bonds mediate the characteristic L-shaped molecular structure. tRNAs have two regions of fundamental functional importance: the anti-codon, which is responsible for specific mRNA codon recognition, and the 3' end, to which the tRNAs corresponding amino acid is attached (by aminoacyl-tRNA synthetases). tRNAs cope with the degeneracy of the genetic code in two manners: having more than one tRNA (with a specific anti-codon) for a particular amino acid; and 'wobble' base-pairing, i.e. permitting non-standard base-pairing at the 3rd anti-codon position.
Source: Rfam by way of RNAcentral